This 243-nucleotide ribosomal RNA is filed under the name uncultured bacterium. RNAcentral's name for it is "partial 16S ribosomal RNA". It matches the Rfam family "Bacterial small subunit ribosomal RNA", at positions 524 to 764 of the family's 1533-position model. The record is from RNAcentral.
CACGUAGGCACCAAGCGUUGUCCGGAUUUAUUGGGCGUAAAGAGCUCGUAGGCGGUUCAGUAAGUCGGGUGUGAAAACUUUGGGCUUAACCCAAAGCGUGCAUCCGAUACUGCUGUGACUUGAGUUCGGUAGGGGAGUGGGGAAUUCCUAGUGUAGCGGUGAAAUGCGCAGAUAUUAGGAGGAACGACCGGUGGCGAAGGCGCCACUCUGGACCGUAACUGACGCUGAGACACGAAAGCGUGG